GAGUUUGAUCAUGGCUCAGGACGAACGCUGGCGGCGUGCUUAACACAUGCAAGUCAAGGGGGCCCGGUAGCAAUACUGGGCAACCGGCGAACGGGUGCGUAACACGUGGGCAACCUACCGAAAUGUGGGGGAUAGCCGGUCUAACGGCCGAGUAAUACCGCAUACGCUCUCGAUGAGGCAUUUCAUUGAGAGGAAACCUACGGGACAUUUCGAGGGGCUCGCGGCCUAUCAGCUAGUUGGAGAGGUAACGGCUCACCAAGGCAACGACGGGUAGCUGGUCUGAGAGGAUGGCCAGCCACAUUGGGACUGAGAUACGGCCCAGACUCCUACGGGAGGCAGCAGUGGGGAAUCUUGCGCAAUGGCCUAACGGCUGACGCAGCGACGCCGCGUGUGGGAUGAAGCUCUUCGGAGUGUAAACCACUGUUGCCCGGGACGAAUAGCUCGAUUAAUCGAGCCUGACG
RNAcentral lists this ribosomal RNA (461 nucleotides) under uncultured bacterium. RNAcentral describes it as "bacterial SSU rRNA". It matches the Rfam family "Bacterial small subunit ribosomal RNA", at positions 9 to 474 of the family's 1533-position model. The record is from RNAcentral.